GACGAACGCUGGCGGCGUGCUUAACACAUGCAAGUCGAACGAAGUGGCGAACGGGUGAGUAACGCGUAAUCAACCUGCCCUUCAGAGGGGGACAACAGUUGGAAACGCCUGCUAAUACCGCAUACUGAAGGAGGGGAUUGCGUCUGAUUAGCUAGUUGGAGAGGUAACGGCCCACCAAGGCGAUGAUCAGUAGCCGGGUUGGGAGGAUGAACCGCCCAAAUGGGACUGAGACACGGGCCAGACUCCUACGGGAGGUAGCAGUGGGGAAUCUUUCGAAAUGGACGAAAGUCUGACGGAGCAACGCCGCGGGAGUGAGGACGGCCUUCGGGUUGGAAAGCUCUGUUAAUCGGGACGCGGUACCGGAAGAGAAAGCCACGGCUAACUACGUGCCAGAAGCCGAGGUAAUUC
This 408-nucleotide ribosomal RNA is filed under the name uncultured bacterium. Its description in RNAcentral is "partial 16S ribosomal RNA". It matches the Rfam family "Bacterial small subunit ribosomal RNA", at positions 28 to 526 of the family's 1533-position model. The record is from RNAcentral.